GUGAAUAUGAUUUGGAUGUUUAUUGUAUGAUAAUUGAUGAAGUAUUGAUAUUCUUGAUGAAAAGAGAAAAUAAAUCCCGGUUGAAUGAAAGGAAAAUUCGAUGGAUCUUUGAAAAGGAAUUAACGGUAAAAAGGAUCUAGCCCGGACGGGUGAUCCUAUCCUGAUAUAGCCCUCCCAAAGAAUAUGUGGAAAAUGGAUUUAGCCCGG
This 207-nucleotide long non-coding RNA is filed under the name Gossypium raimondii (Peruvian cotton). Its description in RNAcentral is "long non-coding RNA (GRAI_LNC005601)". Lineage: Eukaryota; Viridiplantae; Streptophyta; Magnoliopsida; Malvales; Malvaceae. The record is from RNAcentral.